GGGGUUAUGGCUCAGUGGUAGAGCACUUGCCUGGCAUGCAUGAGGCACUGGGUUCGAGUCUCGGCACCA
Molecule: non-coding RNA, 69 nt
Organism: Ictidomys tridecemlineatus (thirteen-lined ground squirrel)
Lineage: Eukaryota; Metazoa; Chordata; Mammalia; Rodentia; Sciuridae
Source: Rfam